UACAGAGGGUGCAAGCGUUGUUCGGAAUUAUUGGGCGUAAAGGGCGCGUAGGCGGUGCUGUAAGUCUGUAGUGAAAUCUCUGGGCUCAACUCAGAGUCUGCUAUAGAAACUGCAGUGCUGGAGUGUGGGAGAGGUGAGUGGAAUUCCCGGUGUAGCGGUGAAAUGCGUAGAUAUCGGGAGGAGCACCUGUGGCGAAAGCGGCUCACUGGACCACAACUGACGCUGAGGCGCGAAAGCUAGGGGAGCAAACAGG
This 253-nucleotide ribosomal RNA is filed under the name uncultured bacterium. RNAcentral describes it as "partial 16S ribosomal RNA". It matches the Rfam family "Bacterial small subunit ribosomal RNA", at positions 524 to 776 of the family's 1533-position model. The record is from RNAcentral.